This 444-nucleotide ribosomal RNA is filed under the name Alloprevotella sp. oral taxon 308. RNAcentral describes it as "bacterial SSU rRNA". It matches the Rfam family "Bacterial small subunit ribosomal RNA", at positions 28 to 462 of the family's 1533-position model. Lineage: Bacteria; Pseudomonadati; Bacteroidota; Bacteroidia; Bacteroidales; Prevotellaceae. The record is from RNAcentral.
GAUGAACGCUAGCUACAGGCUUAACACAUGCAAGUCGAGGGGCAGCGGGUUGAAAGCUUGCUUUCAAUGCCGGCGACCGGCGCACGGGUGCGUAACGCGUAUCAAACCUGCCUCAUACUCGGGGAUAGCCUUGCGAAAGUAAGAUUAAUACCCGAUGUUGUUGCUUUCUCGCAUGGGAGAGUAACCAAAGAUUUAUCGGUAUGAGAUGGUGAUGCGUCCGAUUAGGUAGUAGGCGGGGUAACGGCCCACCUAGCCUUCGAUCGGUAGGGGUUCUGAGAGGAAGGUCCCCCACACUGGAACUGAGACACGGUCCAGACUCCUACGGGAGGCAGCAGUGAGGAACAUUGGUCAAUGGGCGAGAGCCUGAACCAGCCAAGUAGCGUGCAGGAUGACGGCCCUCCGGGUUGUAAACUGCUUUUAGUUGGGAAUAAAAAAAGGGACGUG